GAACAACACACACACGCAGUCUGGAAUAAAUGCAUAGUUUAUCAUAUCAUAACAGUAAAUAAAACAGUCUGGUUACAUUUAAGGACUGCAGUCUAAGUUAUAAAGUGAGGCGAAUAAACGGUUUUCUCAGAAUCAGUGUCACACUUCGUUGUAAUAUUUAUGCUAAUUUCUGUGAGGCGAUGCUAAACAACGCUAAACGCUAAAAACAAUAAUAAAGAGAGGUUAAUCAUCCACUUGGUUUAGGCUACAUCUCCUCCUGGUACCUGAAUGAAAACAGCUUCCUGCCGUGCAAAGAAAAAGAAAGAAGACAACCGUUCUGCUGCAGGAGGGGAGGUCCAUCAGUUCACUUCUUUCUUAUAUUGUUAAAAAGUUGCAGGAGUUUGUUGUCUUCCUGGGUAGAGCUCAACAGAUGCAGAGUGAUUCUCCUCCAGGGUUUUAAAGUGAUUUAAAGUGUCUUAGUUUCAGUUUUCCGCUCUUAAGAAGGUCUUAAAGCAGGGGUGUCCAAACUUUUAGCAACAUGGGCCAGAAUCCCGACGUUGAAAAUACCCAGGGGGCCAUAUUGUUUCUCCAACUUGAAAUGCAAAAUAAUUACACUUGAAAUAUGACAAAACUAACUGACAGUAAAAAAAAAAUAAAAAAUUGGCUUGGGUUAAUUUAAAAUUUUCUUAAUAUUGAUGAAAAAGUUCUAGUUCCAAUGGCGAGUUAUUCCACUUAUUUUGCUAACAAUGGUCGCUGCACCGUUACCUAGCAACCCCAGCCAAGCCCAGCCCGUAACCUAGCAACCGAAUUCUAGUUCCAUUGACAGAUUAUUUCAUAAUUUGCCAUUGGAACUGGUACAUUUUCAUCAGUAUUAAGGAAUUAUUGACAUGUAAUGAACAGUUACAUGUUGGAAAAAAAAUAGUUUUCUCUUAUUUUAAAUGUAGCCACUAAGUUAUUUGCACUAGAAGUUAGAACAGAAUUUGCUAGAUUUUGUGUUUUUGCAGUGUAACUUUGAUCAAUUUUUAAUUUUGGUUUAGAAAAUCUUUUUUAGUCUAUUUCCAGCAACAUAAAUGAGAACCUUCUUCAAAAAACAAGUUUAUUAAUAAAAUAAAUGUACACUAUCCCCCCAAGUAAAGAUUUUUAGCUGCUUAAUAUUAAAUUAAACACUCUCCAUUAUAACGGCAUUAAAUUCUGUAAAAUUUAUUUUUUUUAAAUUACCACUAAAGUGGCAAAUUAGUAGCAUUCCUGAACAGUCGGGGCCCACACAGAAUUGUUCUAAAGGCCACAACUGGCCCCCGGGCCACAUUUUGGACACCCCGGAAUUAAAGCAUGGGGGGAUUUCUGAGCAGCAAUUAUGCAUGUUUUUAAAAAACUUCUAUAAGGAUUACAGGAGCAUCAGUCAAGACGCUUUGUGGUUCAUGCAUGGAAUCAAUUCUGCUGCAGAGAAUAUGAAUAUUUAAAUAUUUCAGAAGAAAAAUGCUGAAAAACGUGAUUGUUUUUAUUUUUUAAAGGUUUUCUCACUCCAGACAAUUUAGAUGCUACCUAUAUGUACGUAUAAGGAGUGGAAAUAAUGUGGCAUUAGAGUCCAUUUCUGUCCAACAAAGAUAAAAAAAGCAGCAAGUUUUUAAAACAUUCUUCACUGAAAAAAAGAGAACAGGUGAUCCAACUUAAAAAUUAAGUUUAUCCAAGUAAAUAUAUUAAGUUUAUUACGUUGUCAUGUUAAACAAACGUAAAUGAAGUAAGUUUGACAAACUUAAUUUGAUUACGUGCAAUAAAUUAACUCUUUUUUUAAGUUGGAGCUCCAGUCACGUUCUAGAAACAGUUACACAGCUCUGAAUGCAUAACUGGACCAAAAUAAUCAAACUCUGAUCCACAUACAAACCUCGGUCUCGGUACGGUUGAAAUGAACUCUGGUGUGGUUUGAAUGCAUAUAUGAACGCCAAGCGGGCUCUAGGCCGCUCCAAAAGCAGGAUGUGGACUUCUGCGUAGGGCAUUCUGGGUAAAUACAACCAAAACUAACCUGCUAACCUGCGCUAGCAGGAAAAAUGGCUUGUAGGGUUUUUUUUUUUGUUUGUUUUGUUUUUUUAGAAAAGACGAAAGAAAAAUCCUACAACCUCUAAAAUCUGACAGUUUUGUUUACAUUUUUUGCAGAGAAGGAAGUUGGUUUCAGUGUCGUCUUCAGACGUUUUCAUGUUGUUCCCUUCAGUGGAUCUUGGUACAGCGCCCCCACAGGCGAGGAAGGGAACAGUUUGGAUGGUUUGACUCAGUGUUUCAACUGAGAUGGAAACCACUCCAAAAAGCUGGAAGUGGACUACAACGCAGGGCAUUCUGGCUCCACUUUCAAACCGCGGCGCUGAGACGAUGAGGAGCUGCUGAGGAAAUGUGAGCGGAUUAUUGAUUCCAGCAGGAUGACUGGUUCCCCUUCCCACUGGAGCCGCGCUGCAAACGGACACGCUAACGAUUUAUGGAAAGCAUCGGGAUUCAAUCAGAGAAAAGCUUCCCAACCUGAUGACGUCUGAUCCGAGGAGAGUUCGGCUUCGGCUGCCGGGGCGUCGUCGCUCCCAGCG
Gambusia affinis (western mosquitofish) is the source of this 2546-nucleotide long non-coding RNA. RefSeq lists it as uncharacterized. NCBI's taxonomy places the organism in Eukaryota, Metazoa, Chordata, Actinopteri, Cyprinodontiformes, Poeciliidae. The record is from RefSeq and is a predicted model, not a curated record. The transcript is spliced from 3 exons.